AACGCAUAUUGCACUCUCUGGUAUUCCGGAGAGUACGCCUGUUUCAGUAUCAAAAAUGUCAUCCAAAGUUUUGGUUUGUUUGUACCAAAUCUUAUGGGAUUUGGGUUUUGCAGACAUUUUUUCUGCUGGCCUUAAAUGGUUCGGCCACAAAAAUCCAAGCGACAAGGCGUGAUAGUUGGUACUUUUGGUUCCAUCCUUUCGCUGAAGCUUGUCUUUUUUGAAUCAAUGGCUCGACAAUAUGGAAAAACGAAAUAUCUAUAAUGUGUAUAUGUUUCACCAUUAUUUGGAUCUGAAAUCAGGUGGGACUACCCGCUGAACUUAA
RNAcentral lists this unclassified non-coding RNA (322 nucleotides) under uncultured fungus. Its description in RNAcentral is "partial contains 5.8S ribosomal RNA, internal transcribed spacer 2, and large subunit ribosomal RNA". The record is from RNAcentral. Lineage: Eukaryota; Fungi.